RNAcentral lists this ribosomal RNA (997 nucleotides) under Acinetobacter sp. CIP 102143. RNAcentral's name for it is "bacterial SSU rRNA". It matches the Rfam family "Bacterial small subunit ribosomal RNA", at positions 8 to 999 of the family's 1533-position model. The record is from RNAcentral. Lineage: Bacteria; Pseudomonadati; Pseudomonadota; Gammaproteobacteria; Moraxellales; Moraxellaceae.
AGAGUUUGAUCAUGGCUCAGAUUGAACGCUGGCGGCAGGCUUAACACAUGCAAGUCGAGCGGGGAUUGGGUGCUUGCACCUAAUCUUAGCGGCGGACGGGUGAGUAAUGCUUAGGAAUCUGCCUAUUAGUGGGGGACAACAUUCCGAAAGGAAUGCUAAUACCGCAUACGUCCUACGGGAGAAAGCAGGGGAUCUUCGGACCUUGCGCUAAUAGAUGAGCCUAAGUCGGAUUAGCUAGUUGGUGGGGUAAAGGCCUACCAAGGCGACGAUCUGUAGCGGGUCUGAGAGGAUGAUCCGCCACACUGGGACUGAGACACGGCCCAGACUCCUACGGGAGGCAGCAGUGGGGAAUAUUGGACAAUGGGGGGAACCCUGAUCCAGCCAUGCCGCGUGUGUGAAGAAGGCCUUUUGGUUGUAAAGCACUUUAAGCGAGGAGGAGGCUACCUGGAUUAAUACUCUAGGAUAGUGGACGUUACUCGCAGAAUAAGCACCGGCUAACUCUGUGCCAGCAGCCGCGGUAAUACAGAGGGUGCGAGCGUUAAUCGGAUUUACUGGGCGUAAAGCGUGCGUAGGCGGCUGAUUAAGUCGGAUGUGAAAUCCCUGAGCUUAACUUAGGAAUUGCAUUCGAUACUGGUCAGCUAGAGUAUGGGAGAGGAUGGUAGAAUUCCAGGUGUAGCGGUGAAAUGCGUAGAGAUCUGGAGGAAUACCGAUGGCGAAGGCAGCCAUCUGGCCUAAUACUGACGCUGAGGUACGAAAGCAUGGGGAGCAAACAGGAUUAGAUACCCUGGUAGUCCAUGCCGUAAACGAUGUCUACUAGCCGUUGGGGCCUUUGAGGCUUUAGUGGCGCAGCUAACGCGAUAAGUAGACCGCCUGGGGAGUACGGUCGCAAGACUAAAACUCAAAUGAAUUGACGGGGGCCCGCACAAGCGGUGGAGCAUGUGGUUUAAUUCGAUGCAACGCGAAGAACCUUACCUGGCCUUGACAUAGUAGAAACUUU